CCUACGGGAGGCAGCAGUGAGGAAUAUUGGUCAAUGGGCGCGAGCCUGAACCAGCCAAGUCGCGUGAGGGAAGACGGUCCUAUGGAUUGUAAACCUCUUUUGUCGGGGAGCAAAAGACACAACGCGUGGCGUUCCGAGAGUACCCGAAGAAAAAGCAUCGGCUAACUCCGUGCCAGCAGCCGCGGUAAUACGGAGGAUGCGAGCGUUAUCCGGAUUUAUUGGGUUUAAAGGGUGCGCAGGCGGAAGAGCAAGUCAGCGGUAAAAUUGAGAGGCUCAACCUCUUCGAGCCGUUGAAACUGGUUUUCGUGAGUGAGUGAGAAGUAUGCGGAAUGCGUGGUGUAGCGGUGAAAUGCAUAGAUAUCACGCAGAACUCCGAUUGCGAAGGCAGCAUACCGGCGCUCAACUGACGCUCAUGCACGAAAGUGUGGGUAUCGAACAGGAUUAGAUACCCGGGUAGUC
Molecule: ribosomal RNA, 459 nt
Filed under: uncultured bacterium
Lineage: Bacteria
Description: partial 16S ribosomal RNA
Rfam family: Bacterial small subunit ribosomal RNA
Source: RNAcentral